Molecule: non-coding RNA, 2890 nt
Organism: Aegilops tauschii subsp. strangulata
Lineage: Eukaryota; Viridiplantae; Streptophyta; Magnoliopsida; Poales; Poaceae
Source: RefSeq, a predicted model, not a curated record
UUUGUUUCUAAAGAAAGGAAUUUUAUUCUGGUGGAUGAUUAGUUGGGCUUUAGCCCAACAGGACUCACGCAGACGUACACAACCUUCACACGUCUUCUUCUCUCAUUCCCCUCAAUAAAAAAACGCCUUCUUCUCUCGCACUCACACCUUGGCCUUUCUCGAUCCCCUUUUCAUUUCCUUCUAUCCUCUCGGUCCUGCUUCCACCGGAUGAGCUCUGGCUGUUAGCGCUGGUAAUUGGUGCUGCGGAUUUAGUUACCAUCGACUCCUCAGUUUUCUCUCUUGAUUCCCUGCCGUCAUCUUGCACGCGCACCUGCAGCUCGGCUCACUGGUGCGGCCACGGGUUGGCCGUCUACGGCGCAUGGUUUGGCUCCUAUACGCCUCAUCGAUCUCUCAGACCGGUCAACGGAGUCGGAGGGAUAGCAGGGCCCAAGGAAAAGCUGCUCAAGGGAGGAGGCGAGCUCGUCGAUCUCGAUGGUGCUGUUGCCAUCACCGUCCAUGCAGGCGAUGUGGGUGUGGAUCUUGUCUCCCACAGCCAGCUUGGAUCCACCUUUAUUGUGAGGAUGCAUCGUGGCUCCCCGAGCGAGGCAGCUCAGCAGGUCGUCUUCAUCCUUGACAGUGCCAGCCUGAUUUCGGCAGCUCAUUCUUCCACCGGUCCCCCUUCUCUCUUUUCCUGCCUCUCUAAUAUUUUUCUUGUUUCUUAUCCUUUUUCUGCAUGUUAUGGGUAAACAAUAUAAUGCGAUUAAGGUACUGCUUGUUAGUGGAAGGUGUAUAUCUGCUUAUGGCCCCUGCCCCCGUUCAUAUAUUCAACUAAUUUAGUAAGUAAUUAGUUGUUUCGUGAUUAGCCAUGUCUUACUAUUUCCCAAAGAUAAAAUUAAUAGGAAAAUAGUUGCGAUUGCAUCCUACACAUGAACUAAAACGAUGUGCAGACUCUGUCCUGUCACUAUUGGCUUGUACUACAGAAUAAGCUUAAAAUACUUGGAUACAUCCGUAUCUAGACAAAUCUAAGACAAGAAUUUUGGGACGGAGGGAGUAUCAGAUAACACAAAGUAUCGACACUUGGUAUUAUUCAGCUAUUUCCAUCAAAUGUUGAUGCAUGUUUCCAAAUUUCAAUACUUCUAGGAGUAGUAGAUCAUAUCCAUUCUGCCAUAUCAUGUCCCUCGUUAACUCCUUGAGCUUAUGAGGAACACUCAAUCAACAAUAUCACUAUACCAGGUCUUCCUGAUGUUGUUUGGCCUACUUCCAAGCAUAGAUUGGAUAUCCGACCAAGUUGUGUUGCACAUGACUAUCACAAAUAGGUCUGUGUAUCCAGCCCACCGACGUCUUACUAUAGCAUUUUGGUAGUCGCUGUUGUAUCAGAAAGAAAACUGAUUUUUGAGAUUGUUCUCCAAUGGUCGGCAUUUUUCGUACUCCCAGACUUUGAAGGUCUUAAUUAUGUAGAUGGAGUCCUUUUUAAUUUUUGCUUUAAAUUUAUUUACCAGUUUGCUCCCAAUAGAAGCAUGGAUUGCAUUGCCCUACAUAGAGAGAAUACAUUAGCAAACUUUGGAAAAGGAAAACUAAAGAGACAUUAUAUAUGUAAUACUUGCACUUUUUUAUCUAAUGCAUGGAUCACAUUAGUCGAUAAGUUAAUUGCAUCCCAAAGUCUUAAAACUUUGACUUUGAUUGUCCAUGUCUCGUUUCGUGUAGUCAAUGCAUUCAAUGGUGUAGCCGCCAUAUUCUUUGAGGCCCUAAAAAUAUAAGAACAUAAUGUUGAUUAGCAAAGUAAUAUAAUGAAAUGCAAGCUUGAUAAAUACUCCCUCCGUCCCAAAAUUCUUGUCUUAGAUUUGUCUAAAUACGGAUGUAUCAAGUCAAUGGAGGGAGUACAAAAUAUUAUUGUUGCAACUGCCUCCAGUGAUUAUGUGACAACAAAGAAAAUUGAAAAAAAUUUAAACUGGAAAAGAUAUAUGAAAUCAUAGUAGUUGAAUAAAUACAAUUUUAUUGACAGUUGUUCCGAAUUUUUGUUUCAGCUGGAGCUAGUGGCAUAUGACAGGAACUCACUAUUGAAUUUGAGUUGGUACUGACUUGAUGUGGUCUGAUUGCUCGACGGAGGUGGCUUGUGCAUGCGGGAGGAAGACAAUUUUGAAGUUCCACUGGUUGGAGGAAGUUGACCUCGAAGUGUUGCUCGCCGUAGGAAGAUGAUGUAGGAGUUGUACCCUAAUAUCUGAGGCCGUGGAAGCAUUACAUGGGGGAGAUAUUAUAGGGAUGGCUGAGUUUACCACGUUUGCACGAUGGAAAGAGAGGUUUUUUGGAUGCCAUCUAGAGAGAUAUUCUUGAUCCAUUGAUCGAUGGAGCUGAUGACAAUCGAGGAGAGUCAACAAAGGAGAUUUAGGAUGACAAUCAAGGAGAGUCAAUAGAGGAGAUUGGGAUGACAAUCGAGGAGAGUCAAUAGAGGAGAUUGGGGUGCUAGCAACAGUGGGAGGAAGGCGAUGUUCAAGUGUCGCUCAUUGGAGGAAGACGAUGUUGAAAGGGGGCUCUGAAGUCGGAGAGGAAAGCUAAUUAAAAGAUAAGAUAAAGGUACUCCAAGACCCUGGGGAAUUUGAAAAGGAAUUCAAGCAUCUACCGGCAUGCCUUUUUUCUGGUUAAGACAGUACAAUAGUGCAUGCCGUCAUGGGUGUUGUCGAUUCAAGUGCAUUCCUGCACUGAUAUCCAUAUAUCAGUCUUCACGGUGCGCUAAUCAGGCGUGAAGCCAUCUAAAUAAAGCUAAGCCCAUAAUUUACUCCUAGUUUACACCUACCCACGAACGAUUCUUCUACAAUGUCUUUGAAUUCUUACCAUCCAAUGGGGGACAUUACCUUCUACUCCCUCCGUUCCUAAAUAUAAGUCUUUUUAGACAUUUCAAAUGGAGUACAACAUA